AAUCAACGCUGGCGGCGUGCCUCAGACAUGCAAGUCGAACGAGAACCUCCCUUCGGGGAGGGGACAGUGGCGCACGGGUGAGUAACACGUGGGUAAUUUACCUUCGGGUGGGGAACAACAGCCGGAAACGGCUGCUAAUACCGCAUAAUGCAGCGGCUCCGAUUGGAGACAGUUGUUAAAGCGGGGGAUCGCAAGACCUCGCGCCUGAAGAGAAGCCCGCGGCAGAUUAGCUAGNGGUAGGGUAAUGGCCUACCAAGGCAACGAUCUGUAACCGGCCUGAGAGGGCGGUCGGUCACACUGACACUGACAUACGGGUCAGACUCC
Molecule: ribosomal RNA, 324 nt
Filed under: uncultured bacterium
Lineage: Bacteria
Description: bacterial SSU rRNA
Rfam family: Bacterial small subunit ribosomal RNA
Source: RNAcentral